UACGGGGGGGGUAAGCGUUGGUCGGAAUUACUGGGCGUAAAGGGCUCGUAGGCGGCCAACUAAGUCAGACGUGAAAUCCCUCAGCUUAACUGGGGAACUGCGUCUGAUACUGGAUGGCUUGGAUUCGGGAGAGGAAUGCGGAAUUCCAGGUGUAGCGGUGAAAUGCGUAGAUAUCUGGAGGAACACCGGUGGCGAAGGCGGGUCUCUGGGUAGUAACUGACGCUGAGGAGCGAAAGCGUGGGGAGCGAACAGG
RNAcentral lists this ribosomal RNA (253 nucleotides) under uncultured bacterium. RNAcentral's name for it is "partial 16S ribosomal RNA". It matches the Rfam family "Bacterial small subunit ribosomal RNA", at positions 524 to 776 of the family's 1533-position model. The record is from RNAcentral.